This 1156-nucleotide ribosomal RNA is filed under the name uncultured bacterium. Its description in RNAcentral is "bacterial SSU rRNA". It matches the Rfam family "Bacterial small subunit ribosomal RNA", at positions 87 to 1253 of the family's 1533-position model. The record is from RNAcentral.
UUUAUUUAGUGGGGGAGGGGUGAGUAAGGAGUGAAUAAUGUGUUGAGUAAAAAGGAAUAGUGUGGGGAAAGGGGGAUUAAAACCGUAUGAUACUUUGAUGCCGCAUGGCAAUGAAGUCAAAUAUUUAUAGGGUAUGGGAUGAGUUCGCGUCUGAUUAGCUGGUUGGUGAGGUAAAGGCCCACCAAGGCGAUGAUGCGUAGCCGGACUGAGAGGUUGAACGGCCACAUUGGGACUGAGACACGGCCCAGACUCCUACGGGAGGCAGCAGUAGGGAAUUUUCGGCAAUGGGGGGAACCCUGACCGAGCAAUGCCGCGUGAAUGAAGAAAUACUUCGGUAUGUAAAGUUCUUUUAUAGGGGAAGAAUGGCUUGCGGGAAAGCAAGAAUGACGGUACCCUUUGAAUAAGCCCCGGCUAACUAUGUGCCAGCAGCCGCGGUAAUACAUAGGGGGCAAGCGUUAUCCGGAAUUAUUGGGCAUAAAGGGUGCGUAGGCGGUAUGUUAAGUUUAAGGUAUAAGCUCAUGGCUUAACCAUGGGAGGCUUUAGAAACUGGCAUACUAGAGUGCAGUAGAGGCAAGUGGAAUUCCAUGUGUAGCGGUAAAAUGCGUAAAUAUAUGGAGGAACACCAGUGGCGAAGGCGGCUUGCUGGGCUGUAACUGACGCUGAGGCACGAAAGCCUCUUUAGAAGACACCUNUUNNNUNCCCUNNUNNUCCNCNCCGCCCUAUACGGUACUAAGGGUCGGGGGAACCUCGGGGCGGAAGCAAAUGCUAAUAAUUACUCCGCCCGAGUAGUACGGGCGCAAGCAUGAAACUCAAAGGAAUUGACGGGGCCCCGCACAAGCCGUGGAUCAUGUUGUUUAAUUCGAGGAUACGCGAAGAACCUUACCAGGCCUUGACAUCCUCUGCGAAGCUAUGGAGACAUAGUGGAGGUUAACAGAGAGACAGGUGGUGCAUGGUUGUCGUCAGCUCGUGUCGUGAGAUGUUCGGUUAAGUCCGGUAACGAGCGCAACCCUUAUUGCUAGUUGCCAUCAUUAAGUUGGGGACUCUAGCGAGACUGCCAGUGACAAACUGGAGGAAGGCGGGGAUGACGUCAAAUCAUCAUGCCCCUUAUGGCCUGGGCUACAAACGUGAUACAAUGGCUGGAACAAAGAGAAGCGAA